RNAcentral lists this transfer RNA (102 nucleotides) under Hedyosmum mexicanum. RNAcentral's name for it is "partial transfer RNA-Phe". The stretch from base 53 to 102 matches the Rfam family "tRNA", at positions 1 to 48 of the family's 71-position model. The record is from RNAcentral. Lineage: Eukaryota; Viridiplantae; Streptophyta; Magnoliopsida; Chloranthales; Chloranthaceae.
GCCGGGUGUCGGAAAUGGUCGGGAUAGCUCAGCUGGUAGAGCAGAGGGCUGAAAUACAAUAGCUCAGCCGGUAGAGCAGAGGACUGAAAAUCCUCGUGUCAC